AGUGAACGCUGGCGGCGUGCCUAAUACAUGCAAGUCGAACGGAGUGGCGCACGUGUGAGUAAUGUAUAGCUAAUCUGCCCUACACUAUAGCACCACAGUUUGACACGGCUUCUAAUACUCUAUAUGGUAGGAUGAGGCUAUAUUGUAUCAUCUAGUUGGUGAGGUAAUGGCUCACCAAGGCUAUGACGCAUAACUGGUCUGAGAGGAUGAUCAGUCACACGGGAACUGAGACACGGUCCAGACUACUACGGGAGGCAGCAGUAGGGAAUAUUGCUCAAUGGGGGAAACCCUGAAGCAGCAACGCCGCGUGGAGGAUGACACGUUUCGGAGCGUAAACUCCUUUUGUUAGGGAAGCGGUACCUAACGAAUAAGCACCGUCUAAAUCCGUGCCAGCCGCCGCGGUAAGAC
Molecule: ribosomal RNA, 408 nt
Filed under: uncultured bacterium
Lineage: Bacteria
Description: partial 16S ribosomal RNA
Rfam family: Bacterial small subunit ribosomal RNA
Source: RNAcentral